Molecule: ribosomal RNA, 218 nt
Filed under: Dendrobium comatum
Lineage: Eukaryota; Viridiplantae; Streptophyta; Magnoliopsida; Asparagales; Orchidaceae
Description: partial 26S ribosomal RNA
Rfam family: Eukaryotic large subunit ribosomal RNA
Source: RNAcentral
GCAACCCCAGGAUGGGCGAGGCCACCCGCCGAGUUUAAGAAUAUCAAUAAGCAGAGGAGAAGAAACUUACGAGGAUUGCCUAGUAAUGGCAAGCGAAGGAAAGGCCUGGCAUGGGAAUUGGGCUGCAGUGCAGCAGCUCAAAUUGUAGUUUGGAGAAGCGUCCUCAGCGACGGACUGGGCCCAAGUCUCAUGGAAAGGGGCACCGGGGAGGGUGAGAG